GAUGAACGCUGGCGGCGUGCUUAACACAUGCAAGUCGAACGGAAAGGCCGAAGCUUGCUUCGGUACUCGAGUGGCGAACGGGUGAGUAACACGUGGGUGAUCUGCCCUGUACUUCGGGAUAAGCUUGGGAAACUGGGUCUAAUACCGGAUAUGACAAUCUCUUGGAUGGGGUUGUGGAAAGCUUUUGCGGUAUGGGAUGAGCUCGCGGCCUAUCAGCUUGUUGGUGGGGUAAUGGCCUACCAAGGCGUCGUCGGGUAUCCGGCCUGAGAGGGUGUACGGCCACAUUGGGACUGAGAUACGGCCCAGACUCCUACGGGAGGCAGCAGUGGGGAAUAUUGCACAAUGGGCGCAAGCCUGAUGCAGCGACGCCGCGUGGGGGAUGACGGCCUUCGGGUUGGAAACUUCUUUCGCAACCGACGAAGCUUUUUGUGACGGUAGGUGGAGAAGAAGCACCGGCUAACUACGUG
This 467-nucleotide ribosomal RNA is filed under the name uncultured bacterium. RNAcentral's name for it is "partial 16S ribosomal RNA". It matches the Rfam family "Bacterial small subunit ribosomal RNA", at positions 28 to 507 of the family's 1533-position model. The record is from RNAcentral.